Molecule: long non-coding RNA, 176 nt
Organism: Octopus sinensis (East Asian common octopus)
Lineage: Eukaryota; Metazoa; Mollusca; Cephalopoda; Octopoda; Octopodidae
Exons: 3
Source: RefSeq, a predicted model, not a curated record
CAGCAGGGAAUACUGUCAUUUCCUUCUAAAAUAUUUUAAGACAAUUCAAAACAUUUGUAACAUUACAGUAGGUGAUUGCAAGGACCUGUGAGUUGCAGUAAUUGAGGUAAUUAAAGCUUGUAGUACUUGUCAUAACUGAGAAGGUGUGGGAAAGUAAGGUAAUCCACCUUGCUGUC